AAUCAACGCUGGCGGCGUGCCUAACACAUGCAAGUCGAACGCGAAAGUGGAGCAAUCCAUGAGUAGAGUGGCAAACGGGUGAGUAACACGUGGGUGACCUGCCUUCGAGCGGGGGAUAACGUCCCGAAAGGGACGCUAAUACCGCAUAACAUGCCGCCUUUUAACAGGUGGACAUCAAAGCUGGGGAUCGCAAGACCUAGCACUUGAAGAGGGGCCCGCGCCUGAUUAGCUAGUUGGUGGGGUAACGGCUCACCAAGGCAACGAUCAGUAUCCGGCCUGAGAGGGCGGACGGACACACUGGGACUGAGACACGGCCCAGACUCCUACGGGAGGCAGCAGUGGGGAAUUGUUCGCAAUGGGCGCAAGCCUGACGACGCAACGCCGCGUGGAGGAUGAAGACCUUC
This 404-nucleotide ribosomal RNA is filed under the name uncultured bacterium. Its description in RNAcentral is "bacterial SSU rRNA". It matches the Rfam family "Bacterial small subunit ribosomal RNA", at positions 32 to 419 of the family's 1533-position model. The record is from RNAcentral.